CCUACGGGUGGCAGCAGUAGGGAAUCUUCCACAAUGCUCGAAAGCCUGAUGGAGCAACGCCGCGUGGGUGAAGAAGGUCUUCGGAUCGUACAACCCUGUUGUUAGGGAAGAAAGUGCGUAAGAGUAACUGAAGAAAAAGCAUCGGCUAACUCCGGACCAGCAGCCGCGGUAAUCCGGAGGAUGCGAGCGUUAUCGGGAUUGAUUGGGGUGAAAGGGUGCGCAGGCGGUGGCACAAGUCAGCGGGAAAGUCGCGGGGCUCAACCCCGCUCCGCCGUUGAUACUGUGUCCCGUGAGUGCGCGAAGGGUAGGAGGAAUGCGUGGUGUAGCGGUGAAAGGCAUAGAUAUCACGCAGAACUCCGAUCGCGAAGGCAGCCUACCGGCGCGAAACUGACGCUCAUGCACGAAAGCGUGGGUAGCGAACAGGAUUAGAUACCCGUGUAGUC
RNAcentral lists this ribosomal RNA (443 nucleotides) under uncultured bacterium. RNAcentral's name for it is "partial 16S ribosomal RNA". It matches the Rfam family "Bacterial small subunit ribosomal RNA", at positions 338 to 795 of the family's 1533-position model. The record is from RNAcentral.